This 550-nucleotide ribosomal RNA is filed under the name uncultured bacterium. RNAcentral's name for it is "bacterial SSU rRNA". It matches the Rfam family "Bacterial small subunit ribosomal RNA", at positions 355 to 896 of the family's 1533-position model. The record is from RNAcentral.
UAGGGAAUCUUCGGCAAUGGACGGAAGUCUGACCGAGCAACGCCGCGUGAGUGAAGAAGGUUUUCGGAUCGUAAAGCUCUGUUGUAAGAGAAGAACGAGUGUGAGAGUGGAAAGUUCACACUGUGACGGUAUCUUACCAGAAAGGGACGGCUAACUACGUGCCAGCAGCCGCGGUAAUACGUAGGUCCCGAGCGUUGUCCGGGUUUAUUGGGCGUAAAGCGAGCGCAGGCGGUUAGAUAAGUCUGAAGUUAAAGGCUGUGGCUUAACCAUAGUAGGCUUUGGAAACUGUUUAACUUGAGUGCAAGAGGGGAGAGUGGAAUUCCAUGUGUAGCGGUGAAAUGCGUAGAUAUAUGGAGGAACACCGGUGGCGAAAGCGGCUCUCUGGCUUGUAACUGACGCUGAGGCUCGAAAGCGUGGGGAGCAAACAGGAUUAGAUACCCUGGUAGUCCACGCUGUAAACGAUGAGUGCUAGGUGUUAGACCCUUUCCGGGGUUUAGUGCCGUAGCUAACGCAUUAAGCACUCCGCCUGGGGAGUACGACCGCAAGGUUG